Molecule: unclassified non-coding RNA, 312 nt
Filed under: fungal sp.
Lineage: Eukaryota; Fungi
Description: partial internal transcribed spacer region
Rfam family: Eukaryotic small subunit ribosomal RNA (bases 1-46)
Source: RNAcentral
AAGUCGUAACAAGGUAACCGUAGGUGAACCUGCGGUUGGAUCAUUAAUAAAAAAUAAAACAAUCAUCCCUAACCACCCCCUCCUUUGGGAAAAGGGGGGCGGGGGCGGGUGAUUCACCCCACUUGUGAACUGUUUAACGUACCCUGUUUUGGCAGCCCACCAAUUAUAAAAGAAAAAGGGAUGUUUAGAUAUCCUUUUUUUGGGGCUGUCAAAACGUUUAUAUAUAAAAUCUUGUAUUUAUUUUUGUGCUCGAGUUAUUAAAAAAAAAUUAAUUGAAAGAAACAACUUUUGACAACGGAUCUCUUGGCUCUC